RNAcentral lists this ribosomal RNA (460 nucleotides) under uncultured bacterium. Its description in RNAcentral is "partial 16S ribosomal RNA". It matches the Rfam family "Bacterial small subunit ribosomal RNA", at positions 338 to 795 of the family's 1533-position model. The record is from RNAcentral.
CCUACGGGUGGCAGCAGUGAGGAAUAUUGGUCAAUGGACGAGAGUCUGAACCAGCCAAGUAGCGUGAAGGAUGACUGCCCUAUGGGUUGUAAACUUCUUUUAUAUGGGAAUAAACUGUUCCACGUGUGGGAUUUUGUAUGUACCAUAUGCAUAAGGAUCGGCUAACUCCGUGCCAGCAGCCGCGGUAAUACGGAGGAUCCGAGCGUUAUCCGGAUUUAUUGGGUUUAAAGGGAGCGUAGGUGGAUUGUUAAGUCAGUUGUGAAAGUUUGCGGCUCAACCGUAAAAUUGCAGUUGAAACUGGCAGUCUUGAGUACAGUAGAGGUAGGCGGAAUUCGUGGUGUAGCGGUGAAAUGCUUAGAUAUCACGAAGAACUCCGAUUGCGAAGGCAGUUCACUGGACUGCAACUGACACUGAGGCUCGAAAGUGUGGGUAUCAAACAGGAUUAGAUACCCUAGUAGUC